UACGUAGGGUGCGAGCGUUAAUCGGAAUUACUGGGCGUAAAGCGUGCGCAGGCGGUUCGUUAAGUCAGAUGUGAAAGCCCCGGGCUCAACCUGGGAACUGCAUUUGAAACUGGCGGGCUUGAGUAUGGCAGAGGGGGGUGGAAUUCCGCGUGUAGCAGUGAAAUGCGUAGAUAUGCGGAGGAACACCGAUGGCGAAGGCAAUCCCCUGGGCCUGCACUGACGCUCAUGCACGAAAGCGUGGGGAGCAAACAGG
Molecule: ribosomal RNA, 253 nt
Filed under: uncultured bacterium
Lineage: Bacteria
Description: partial 16S ribosomal RNA
Rfam family: Bacterial small subunit ribosomal RNA
Source: RNAcentral